UACGGAGGGUGCAAGCGUUAUCCGGAUUCACUGGGUUUAAAGGGUGCGUAGGUGGGUUGGUAAGUCAGUGGUGAAAUCUCCGAGCUUAACUUGGAAACUGCCAUUGAUACUAUUAGUCUUGAAUAUUGUGGAGGUCAGCGGAAUAUGUCAUGUAGCGGUGAAAUGCUUAGAUAUGACAUAGAACACCAAUUGCGAAGGCAGCUGGCUACACAUAUAUUGACACUGAGGCACGAAAGCGUGGGGAUCAAACAGG
This 253-nucleotide ribosomal RNA is filed under the name uncultured bacterium. Its description in RNAcentral is "partial 16S ribosomal RNA". It matches the Rfam family "Bacterial small subunit ribosomal RNA", at positions 524 to 776 of the family's 1533-position model. The record is from RNAcentral.